GUAUGGUUCAAGUGUAGUGGUGUUCACAACAAACUCAUCACAAUACAUUACAGGUUUCUUUGCUUCAUCUCCUCUCCUGUUGCUUCACUUGACUAGCUUAA
This 101-nucleotide non-coding RNA is filed under the name Otolemur garnettii (small-eared galago). Lineage: Eukaryota; Metazoa; Chordata; Mammalia; Primates; Galagidae. The record is from RNAcentral.